GUUUAACGUACUGAGCAAGAAUAUAUCUUAAGUUCUCAGUUUCGACUCCGUUUGGUCACCGAAAGCUGUGCCGAACUGUAAUCUUUAGCAGAUAGCAGUUCGAUUUUAUUUUCCACCUUCCGGGUGUCAAAAUGAAAUGAAACUUUAAAUCUAGCCUCAUAAAAAUAUUUCUGGCAUAUCCUCCAGUUUUCAUAAUUUUCUGACACUGUGCAUUUUCUGCUAAUUUAUCUGCCCCGUUUCAUACAGAAAAUUCUAAAUUUUCUGUUUUCGCUCCGAUUUCAACACAGGUCAUUCCCAACCUAUAUUUCACCUCUCUAAAUCCAAUAAAAUAGUAUCUCAUACUAUUUUUAUUUAUUUUUACUUUUAUAUUUAAAAUCCGGUAUGUUACAUUCCACAGCAACCUCACCGGAACCAUUUAAAUGUACACCGUAACUUCAUAGUUUUAGAAGUCCGGUACCUUACACAU
Molecule: long non-coding RNA, 466 nt
Filed under: Ananas comosus (pineapple)
Lineage: Eukaryota; Viridiplantae; Streptophyta; Magnoliopsida; Poales; Bromeliaceae
Description: long non-coding RNA (ACOM_LNC042022)
Source: RNAcentral